RNAcentral lists this unclassified non-coding RNA (217 nucleotides) under Hevea brasiliensis (rubber tree). Lineage: Eukaryota; Viridiplantae; Streptophyta; Magnoliopsida; Malpighiales; Euphorbiaceae. The record is from RNAcentral.
GUUCAUGAGCUCUUGGUACUCGCGCAGCAGCCGGGCCAUGUCCUGCUUGGACUUUUGCAGGGCCUCCUCCAGGUCCACCAGUUUGGCCCGUGCAUCCUUGAGGGCCAGCUCCCCGCGCUGCUCGGCGUCGGCGAUGGCGGAUUGCAGGCUGGCGCACUGCUUCUUGACGUGGUCAAUCUCAGAUCUCAGCCUCUGGAUCACGCGGUUGAUCUCAGAG